RNAcentral lists this long non-coding RNA (390 nucleotides) under Vigna radiata. Its description in RNAcentral is "long non-coding RNA (VRAD_LNC010109)". Lineage: Eukaryota; Viridiplantae; Streptophyta; Magnoliopsida; Fabales; Fabaceae. The record is from RNAcentral.
UUAGAGUAUAAGAGAGUCAAAUAGGUUUUAUUAGUUUUAUGCUUGGUUUUCUUUUGAUGUGGCAGGAUUUAUCAGGAAUUGAAUGAAGGAAGUCAAGUAAGGGAGGAAUUGGAUGCAAGAGAAGGUGUAAAAGUAAAGAAAAGAAGAGUCGUAGAGGGGUGAGAUCAAGUGAUGCGCCCACUGCCAGGCGGUGUACUAGUGGGCGUGGGCUAAAUUUCUUAUAUUUUUCUGAGUUAUAAAUACAUUUUCACGAAUCAGAGAAGGAUCUUUUGGCAGAAAGGACGCAGAAACACAUUCUUCUUACCUUGGAGGCAGAUUUUGGAUGCGGAAACUCCAACUUAUCAAUUCUAGGGUUAUCUUUUCCAUACUUUUCAUUCAAUUCAUCUAGAU